Microcebus murinus (gray mouse lemur) is the source of this 4696-nucleotide long non-coding RNA. RefSeq lists it as uncharacterized. Lineage: Eukaryota; Metazoa; Chordata; Mammalia; Primates; Cheirogaleidae. The record is from RefSeq and is a predicted model, not a curated record.
UCUGGUAGGCUGGGAAGCCUUGGUGGCGGAGGCUGGCUGUGGUGGGCAGGCUUCACGACGGGCCUGGAGAUUUCAUGCGUGUGUGCAGCCCCCGCUCCUUCAUGCCAUCCGAAUCAGUGAUUUGCUUUGCAUCAAUAGCCUGCAGAGGUGACGGGAUGCCACUUCUGCAAUUAAGUCUCAAAAGAUCGUGACCUCUGCCUCGCUAGCAGACUCUAUUGCAUUCUUGGCAUGCACAUGUUGACGAAGCAAGUUUCCAUAUUGGAGAGACCCAUUUGUCAAGGAACCAGGGGUGAGCUCUGGUCCACAGCUAUCAAAGAAGUCAGACCCUCGGUCCAGUAGCCUUUAAUAAACUGGGGGCUUGGAAGCGGACCCUUCCCCGGAUGAGCCUUCAAGAUGGGGAGCACAGACUCUGGGCUGACUCGUGAUCGCAGCCUUGUGAGACACUGUGAGACAGAGGACCCAGCCAAGCCUGGUGUGAUUUCUGACACACAGAAGCUGGGAGAUAGUGAAUAUGCACUGUUAUAAGUGGCGAAAUUGGAGUAAUUUGCUACAUCACAAGAGAUAACCAGCACACUGAGCAUUGAUUUGUAAACAUUUGUUGAAUGAAUGAAUGGAUGAAUAACUGUCAUGUCCCGCACCUCCUGAACAGGGCUGGGGAAGCAAGUGCCCCAAAGCACCACGGUCAAGCCUACGAUCUCCCUGGCCUCAGCCCUCACAGGUCUUCUCUCACAGACUGCACAGCGAGCCCCACAUGGGUGGCCUGCUGGCUCCCCAAAAAGCUAAUAUUAAGCAAAUGGCAUUAGUUUCGACUUCGCUUUUCUCAACACUACCUCUUCUGCCUGCUAGGAUCUGGUGGUCUCCUAAUAAGAUGAAUUUCAAAACCCAACAUGCAUCUUUUCUGGCAACGCAUGAGUUCUCCAACCGCACAAACAACUCCCCACCCUUUUUCUUGGUCAUCAGUGAUGCCAUACUCAUGUGGUAAAGCCCCCCAAAUCAAUAAUUCAUAGUUUAUGAGUAUAUUUCAUGAAUAUACAGGAUAUCAUAAAAAAGUAACAUACAUUUUUCCUAAUAGAAUUAAUACAUUUUCCAAGCAGUUCGGGUUGAGGCAAUUAUUGCACUUCCUGGGAGAUACAAAUUACUUUGCCCUCAGCCUCAUGCCAAAUAACCCCCAUAAGACACACACUAAUUACCCAGAAAUACACUGCCUGCCAUAGCUCAUUGACUAAUUGACAAUCAGUUUAAAACUUCAGCAAAAUAUCUUAAAACUUAGGCUUUGCAUUUAGCAAGAAAACCAAUUUUGUUUAUCUCCUCAUUCUGGUCCGCCUCAUUGGCAAAGUUGUAGUAUGGUUUGUAAGUAAUGACUGAGCAGGCUUAUUAUAAUGAUCAAUGGUAAGAGAACAGCGUUCCAUCAUACCGUAUAGCAUUUCCAUCUCUCAUUUCUGUGAUUCUAUUAAGGACAAUUACCAAUAAUAUAUCCAUUAAUGUGAUACAAAAAUAGAAUGCAACUCUGUAUGUAAUAGUUAUUACCAAUGUGGUCCCUUAAACUCAGUGUACAGCUGUCACUGACUCCUUCCUCAGGCACUUCUAAGAUGUGGCCCUUGCAUGCCCUAAACCCUUUGUGUCUGAUCCGAGCACAAGAACCCACUCAGUUCAUGCUGUACCUAUACACAUUCCUACUGCCUCAAAAACAAGUCAUGGGCAAAAGUCAGAUCUUUUAGAAUCAUUUUCACUAUCUUUUCUAUUUAUAAGUCACUGUUAGAGACCUUUUUUACAAAGCUAUGGUAGCCUACGUCUGCCUGAAUCUUUGUUUUCAUUCUCUUGAUUAUUCCAAGAGUUGGCAUACCACUACAAACCUUUGCUCUGGAUUUUCUAGAAUUGCUUUCUUACAGGGAAAGUGCAUCUACCUUCCAAACAAAUGAUUUUUGAUUACAUAUCUGGGGCAUAACCCAUUCAUAUUUUGGAGAUUGUGCUUGUAGGUGGUACAGGACAAAUCUGCAGGAGUAUAGAGUGAUAGAAGGGGCUGUCACUCUGGGACUGUGGGGCUGGCAUUUCUAUUCGGCUUGCAUCUGGUUGCAACCACAGAAUAUCCAACCAGGAGUGGCUUGAGCAAUUAGGGAUUUAUUUUUCUCACAGAAUGAGACUUCCAAAGGCGAGAAGUCUGGGGCUGGUGUUGUGGCUCAGUGAUGGCAUCGAAGCGUGAGCCCCUUUUGUUUUUCUACACUUCCAUCCUUUGCAUAUUGGCUGCUUGCCUCCUGCCCUGGAAAUGACUGCUGCAGAGAAGUGGGCGGGGUGUGCACCAGCUGCAUCUGACACUUCCGUCAGGAAAGCGCAAGCGCUGCCCCAAACCCCCGUCGGAUUUUGGCUCAGGUCUCAUUAGCCAAAACUGUGUCCCAUUGGCCACACCUGGCUGCAAGGGAGGCCUGGAAAUGGUAUAUGGCAGGGGAGAGGACCGAGGACCGUCCUGAUAAAUAGGGUUUGUUGGCAAGGGCUCACCUGUCAAAGCUGCAUGGGGACUGGUGCUGUGGAAAUCCUGUGAGCAGAAGAACGGCUCAGAGAAUCUUCCCGGGUGCAGAGCGCUUCGUGGUCAUGGUCGUCUCAUUCACUCCCAGCCCUGGGAGGUAGAAACGUAAUGCCAGAAAACAUUCUGCCUUUGAAGAACAAAAGUACAAAGAUGUUCCAACAAUUGAAGCUUCUAGUUUUGCCAAGUUGUUUAUUAUUCAUUGCAUUUGGAAACAGGGCAUGGAGAAGACCAUCAUCUUUCCAGCCUACGUCUCUUCAGCACGCUUCAAUUUAAUGUCACCGGCUAGGUAAGAUUGAACAAGAGUGUCUGUUGGCCUGCAACAAACCUGGUUGACAAGAGCCUUGUGUGUCACAGAGCAGAUCAAAAGUGGGCUUGGUUGUUGUUCAACACUGUGUAUUUUUAAAGAAAUAAAUCAAUAAUUUAAGUCGUUUUAAUGCGUGAGGAGGGCACUGAACUGACAGCUCAGGGCCCAGGCCUGUCUGUGGCCCAGGUGCAUCAUGGGUACUGGCCUGGAAACGUCCCCACCCAGCCCCGGGGAGCCGUGCUCCAGCCAGACUGCAGAGGAAGCACACGCAGCCUGGUGGCCGGAUCCCGGCGUGACCUUGGCCGUGCACAAGGCACUGCUGGGCAGAGUGGGGAGGAGACGCACUUACCAGACUCUCCUUUGGAGUGGACAACUGGGCAGGUUUCAGAGGUGAAGACCUCCCUGGUCCUGACCCACCACGACUGGAACUGAACCUACGAACCUAACGUGGGAAGUGGAUGUAGCAACUUCUUCAGUCGCUUCGUGUACUUGUAAAGGACAAAACAAAAUCCAAAACCAAAACAAAAAAUAACUCAGAACAAAGUCUCAACAAACAAGGAAAAAAAAAAUCUCCAGUCCGUGCUAACCCAAGUGGCCGUUAUUUUUGGCUAUGGGCUGGGCUGGUGAGAUGCUCUUUGGCCGUCUGUCGCUGUACGCUGCAGUGACUGGAAUUUUUUGUGAGCCGGGAAAGGGAUGGUUUUAUUUGGCCUCUGGAAGGGAAGUUGCUGAGAUAUGGAGGAAGCUUUGGGUCACAGGGUUUGGGCCAACAGGGGAGGAAGCAACUUACCUGGUGUCCCAUGUCCAGCAGGGGAAGGGGGUGGGACGGCACAGCCCACGCUUUGGCAGGAGGAGGUCCCUAGGUGAACACACUGCAGGAGCUUGUUCCAGUCCAGUGUUCCCCCAGGCGACUGCAACGCAGGGUCAACAUGGUCUGCUUAUCUUCAGGUAGACCUUGGCCACCUGAUCUAGGCCUUCUCCUGAAAUCGUCUUCAUGGAAGUUUCUAUGACUUGGUUUACUAGUUACUAUUCCCAUGCCUUAUGUUUGCUACUAGACUGUGGACACUUUGGUUUACUUUUAUGACCCACAUAGCUUCUACACACAAGGACACUUUAAAAAUCAAACAUGGACUUGGUUGUCCUCCCCCUUUAAGCUCUGGGUUUUGUGUACAUAUAAUAAAUUAUUAAAUCUUAAGUUGUGUUAUAAAAAAGAAUGACACUCGAGUCAUGAGAGAAAAACAAGAUUGUUGUUUAUGAACAUUUCACUAAAAUAUGCAUUUUGUAAGGCUCAUUGAUUUAUUUCCAAUUCGAGAAGCAACAUAGACAUACAGAACGGUUCAUUAGAUAUUCAUUAUACCUCCUUAGCUGCUUUUAUUAGAAGUGCCCGUGCUGCCAAUGGCAAGGUUGAUGUUUGCAGGGGUUGAAUCAAUGCUUGAAACUCAUCAAUUUCUUAUAGGCAGUUUUGGUUUAAGGUAUUUUGAUGAUUUUAUAGAAAUGUUUUACCCCAUUAAAAAGCUAUAACUUAAACCGUGGUGCAGGGCAGGCACACAUUAGAUGAUAAAUGGCUGUGUGUAAGAGAUUUCAAAUUUGUCAAAUCUGCAUUAAAGAACUAUAUUUGAAAUUGGUUGGAAGGUUGGGUGAAUUCUCUAGGUAAAAAUGACAUUUGUUUUAUGGAUUCCUCUGAAACAAUUCCCCAAGAGUUUUCAUUUGAAUAAAUCACAUCCAAGUUCAGCACUCCAGAAGCAGCUGGCAUGGUAGAGUUGCCUUUGCUGCUUUUCUGUUUCCUCUUUUUCCAGGAAAAGUGUUGAUUUCCUCAUCUGUAAAGGGAGUGAGACUGGAUGACCUGGAGGUGGGAAUAUUUAUAUUCAUUCAUU